RNAcentral lists this unclassified non-coding RNA (207 nucleotides) under fungal sp. RNAcentral describes it as "partial internal transcribed spacer region". The stretch from base 1 to 46 matches the Rfam family "Eukaryotic small subunit ribosomal RNA", at positions 1786 to 1831 of the family's 1831-position model. Lineage: Eukaryota; Fungi. The record is from RNAcentral.
AAGUCGUAACAAGGUUUCCGUAGGUGAACCUGCGGAAGUAUCAUUGGUGAGAUAUUAAGCCUGAGGCUUAGCCGGUCAAAUACCUAGAAGGGGUAGCUUAGCCUACACCCUACAAGGAAAAGUACCGCAAGGGAACCUCCAAAUGUAUCUAGUGUCAUAUCAAACAAUAGAAUAGUACAACCUUUAACAAUUGAUCUCUUGGCUCCU